Molecule: transfer RNA, 68 nt
Filed under: Trichonephila inaurata madagascariensis
Lineage: Eukaryota; Metazoa; Arthropoda; Arachnida; Araneae; Nephilidae
Description: tRNA-Cys
Source: RNAcentral
GAUAUUAGCAGUGGUACAACAUUCGACUGCAGAUCGAGUGGUCCCCGGUUCAAAACCGGGAGUCUUCU